GUGCUGGCUUCAGCAGCACAUAUACUGAAAUUACAACAAUACAGAGAAGAUUAGCAUGGCUCCUGUGCAAGGAUGACAUGCAAAUUCAUGAAGCCUUCCAUAUUUAA
Molecule: small nuclear RNA, 107 nt
Organism: Ursus americanus (American black bear)
Lineage: Eukaryota; Metazoa; Chordata; Mammalia; Carnivora; Ursidae
Source: Ensembl